Molecule: long non-coding RNA, 1721 nt
Organism: Mesocricetus auratus (golden hamster)
Lineage: Eukaryota; Metazoa; Chordata; Mammalia; Rodentia; Cricetidae
Exons: 4
Source: RefSeq, a predicted model, not a curated record
UCUGGUCCUUAUGCCAUCUUAACACUUAGCUAUGUCCUUUACUACAGGUGCAUUUCUUAGCCUGAGGCAGAGGGGACUGCAGCAUCUGCUUUGUCAGAUAGGCAUCAGGAAUAUCCUAGGCUGCAGACCUGGCCCCUCAACCUGUGUCUGAGUUUGCCCACUCAGUUUUACCUGCCUCAGCGGCUGAUCUGUCUGUCCGGGGUGUCUGCGGAAAGUGAAGUGCUUGAUCUCUGCAUCUGACACGUGACUGCCAUCCCUCUCAUGGAGAGCAGAGACUGUCUUGCUAAACGUCGUCCACCUAUUAAGUGCUAACCACGUGCACUGAGCACCAGCACAGUUGUGAAACUGCACCCGUGGCUCCCAGGAUGGGGCUUGACUCCUGGCUGGCCAGAGGCCAGCACUUCCACACAUGACCUCAUGAGAAGCCCUGCGUGCCUGGCACAGUGCCAGCAGCGGAGAAGUGAUGGCUGCUAUUACUAAUCUUCGGAAUCUUCCAACCAGGCAGAAUGCUGUGCUUUCCCAUUUCCCAGAUGGGGCAACCGAGGCUCGGAGAGAUUAAACCACUUGCUGGAGAUAACACAGAAUCAGGAGCUGACUUGAACUGGUUUGAAUUAGAAAGGGAAACUUUUUUUUAUGUGUUCUCCCUAGCUCAACUGGCCUGGAGUCCACGGACCCCCAAAGACCUUACUUUGCCAAACACUGGAGUGGUGGGGGCCCUGGAGAGGAACUCUCCUCUCUCCUCACUCCACGACAGGGUGCUGGGGGACUGAGCUGGACCAUCUAACACACGUGUCCUAACGCCAUUCCUCUGACGGGGAGCUGGACCAUCUAACACACGUGUCCUAACGCCAUUCCUCUGUGCAAGGUGGCAGGACUAAUGGGAAACGCUUCUUUGUCACAGCCUGAACAACAGCGAGGCCCUGGCUGGUGCUUACCCAUCCUCUUCUCCAAGUUGGCUUCAAGCAAAUCUGAUUCCGUGAGAAGUUCACGGUCCAGGAGCACAGGGCUGGGGUUCCUAAAGGCAAGAUAUCAUCCUGGGUGUGGCUCUUCAGUCACAGAUGCUCCCUGGUGAUUUGCAGUGAAGCCAUGUCCCAACGAGCCCGAGAUAAACUGGAAAUGCCAGGUGGUAUGAGGAAUGGAAAGCGCACUGGCUACCUUAACUUACUGAACAUCGCCACUUAGCAACUCAGCACACCGUAGACCACAGGCUGUUUUCCAUCUGCGACUGUAGGAACUUCCUGUAAAAGAGUAUCGUGUUUAUUGCUAGCAGGGGAGGGGGGGGCAGAAUUAAAAAUUCAUCUCUGGUUUCUGCCAAAUGCAAAUUACUUUUGUACCACCUUAAAGGUGAAAUCAUCAUAAAUUGGGGACUUUGUAGUUCCCUAUUCAUGUGUCAUCUUUGAAUACCUUAAUAUUUCCCUUCAUAGGAAUUUGGAAACUUUUUCAAACUGGGGCCGGUAGGUGGUUCAACUGGUAACAGUGAUGGUAACACAAGCUUGAUAACCUGAGUUUGGUCCCCAGAAUCUACAUGUUGGAAAGAAGGUACACAGUCUUGAACACUGUCCUGACUUGAUGCAAGUGUUGUGUGUGUGUGUUUUAAAGUCACACAUAUCAAGGCUAUAUAAGUGUAUUUUUUUAUAAAUGUAUUAAAACUUUUUCAAGGAACUAGAGAGACGGCUCCUCAAUUAAGAGCACUGGCCACUCUUCCAGAGGACCCGGGUUCA